This 77-nucleotide transfer RNA is filed under the name Pseudomonadota bacterium. RNAcentral describes it as "Proteobacteria bacterium tRNA-Val". It matches the Rfam family "tRNA". From Rfam's summary of the family: Transfer RNA (tRNA) molecules are approximately 80 nucleotides in length. Lineage: Bacteria; Pseudomonadati; Pseudomonadota. The record is from RNAcentral.
GGGGAUAUAGCUCAGUUGAUUAGAGCGCUACGUUGACAUCGUAGAGGUCCACAGUUCGAGUCUGUGUAUCCCCACCA